CGCCAAUGGCCUGAAUGUUCUACAGGCGGCGACGGGUAACCGGCCUGAGAGGGCGACCGGUCACACUGGGACUGAGACACGGCCCAGACUCCUACGGGAGGCAGCAGUGGGGAAUAUUGCACAAUGGGCGCAAGCCUGAUGCAGCGACGCCGCGUGAGGGAUGACGGCCUUCGGGUUGUAAACCUCUUUCAGCAGGGACGAAGCGAGAGUGACGGUACCUGCAGAAGAAGCGCCGGCCAACUACGUGCCUGCAGCCGCGGUAAUACGUAGGGCGCAAGCGUUGUCCGGAAUUAUUGGGCGUAAAGAGCUCGUAGGCGGUUUAUCACGUCGGCUGUGAAAUCCCGAGGCUUAACCUCGGGCUUGCAGUCGAUACGGGUUGACUAGAGUGAAGCAGGGGAGACUGGAAUUCCUGGUGUAGCGGUGAAAUGCGCAGAUAUCAGGAGGAACACCGAUGGCGAAGGCAGGUCUCUGGGCUUUAACUGACGCUGAGGAGCGAAAGCGUGGGUAGCGAACAGGAUUAGAUACCCUGGUAGUCCACGCCGUAAACGGUGGGCGCUAGGUGUGGGGACCAUUCCACGGUUUCCGUGCCGCAGCUAACGCAUUAAGCGCCCCGCCUGGGGAGUACGGCCGCAAGGCUAAAACUCAAAGGAAUUGACGGGGGCCCGCACAAGCGGCGGAGUAUGUUGCUUAAUUCGAUGCAACGCGAAGAACCUUACCAAGGCUUGACAUAUACCGAAAACUCAUAGAGAUAUGGGGUCCUUUUGGGCGGUAUACAGGUGGUGCAUAGUUGUCGUCAGCUCGUGUCGUGAGAUGUUGGGUUAAGUCCCGCAACGAGCGCAACCCUCGUUCUAUGUUGCCAGCACGUAGUGGUGGGGACUCAUAGGAGACCGCCGGGGUCAACUCGGAAGGAAGUGGGGGAUGACGUCAAAUCCUCAUGCCCCUAUGUCUUGGCCUGCAACAUACUACAAU
RNAcentral lists this ribosomal RNA (969 nucleotides) under uncultured bacterium. RNAcentral's name for it is "bacterial SSU rRNA". It matches the Rfam family "Bacterial small subunit ribosomal RNA", at positions 243 to 1231 of the family's 1533-position model. The record is from RNAcentral.